RNAcentral lists this small RNA (94 nucleotides) under Salmonella enterica subsp. enterica. RNAcentral describes it as "partial RtT sRNA". It matches the Rfam family "RtT RNA", at positions 46 to 130 of the family's 130-position model. Rfam says of the family: This family represents a bacterial cis-regulatory element known as RtT RNA. Lineage: Bacteria; Pseudomonadati; Pseudomonadota; Gammaproteobacteria; Enterobacterales; Enterobacteriaceae. RNAcentral also lists the same sequence under 3 other names. The record is from RNAcentral.
ACAUCAAACUCAGAUGUUGAGCGUGAAGGAUAACGUUGCGUCAGCAACGGCCCGAAGGGCGAGGCGAAGCCGAGUCAUCCUGCACGACCCACCA